Molecule: long non-coding RNA, 469 nt
Filed under: Mus musculus (house mouse)
Lineage: Eukaryota; Metazoa; Chordata; Mammalia; Rodentia; Muridae
Description: predicted gene 45436
Source: RNAcentral
AGGAUGGAUAAAUGAGGGAUGAUAAAAGCUUAAUAUUUGCCUUCUAUAUUUUAGGAGAAAAUGCAAGUAAAGUCGGUAGUGCCUUCUGUAGCCGUUUGACAGUUUGGAGCUUCACAGAGCAACUGACUACAGAGGAUUACUAGGGCAUAGGUUCUAUGCUUUACCAUGUCUUCUCCUUACAGUGUGGAGAAGGAGGGAGUCACAGGACUGGGCAGGGCUACAUGGCCUUGGGAAGCUGUCUGUUCUUCCUGAGCUUCCGUGUCCACUAGUCACCAAGGAGGUCCUGUGGAACACUGAACAGAAAGAUCUCUCUGUAAGUCAGUCAAUGCCUUCUGGAUCUGUUUUAAGGCUAUGUACCUGCUGCUUGGGCCUGUCUGACCCCUCUGGUGUGCCUCUUGGCUGAAAGUAAUUUUAUUGGCAUUUCUCUGAUCACAAAUGAUGCUGAACACCAUUUUUAAAAAAAAUAAUG